Molecule: non-coding RNA, 164 nt
Filed under: chicken gut metagenome
Description: Lysine riboswitch
Rfam family: Lysine riboswitch aptamer
About the family: Riboswitches are metabolite binding domains within certain messenger RNAs that serve as precision sensors for their corresponding targets.
Source: RNAcentral
UUGAGAGAGGUUGCAGUUUUUAAUAGUAAUAUUUAAUAAAAUCAGAUUAUUGUAAAUAUGAAAGGAAAAAUUGCCGAAAUCUAAAAGAAUAUCUGUAACUUUUAGGUUGGGAUAAUGCAGAAUAUGUAUUAUACUGUCAUAGAAAUAAACUAUGGAGUGCUGUC